Molecule: long non-coding RNA, 368 nt
Organism: Aplysia californica (California sea hare)
Lineage: Eukaryota; Metazoa; Mollusca; Gastropoda; Aplysiida; Aplysiidae
Exons: 2
Source: RefSeq, a predicted model, not a curated record
GUGGCUGUUUGUACCAGUGAUUGUCUUAUACAGGUGGCCUUUUGUACAGGUGAUUGUCUUAUACAGGUGGUCAUUUGAAGGUGAUUCUCCUAUACAGGUGGUCAUUUGAAGGUGAUUCUCCUAUACAGGUGGUCGUUUGAAGGUGAUUCUCCUAUACAGGUGGUCAUUUGAAGGUGAUUCUCCUAUACAGGUGGCUGUUAGAGCAGGUUCCUUUGUACUUUGUGCUUCUCAUCUGUAUUUUGUCACUCCCUGCCGUAGCGUACUAUCACCACUGUGCUAUUGUUUGAGAUGAACAUUGACUUCCCACCUCUUUACUCAUUGAGGAUGGGCAUCAACUGACAACACUUGGUGCUCUAAAAAAAAAAAAA